RNAcentral lists this long non-coding RNA (1363 nucleotides) under Phasianus colchicus (ring-necked pheasant). RNAcentral describes it as "lncRNA (ENSPCLG00000020938.1)". The record is from RNAcentral. Lineage: Eukaryota; Metazoa; Chordata; Aves; Galliformes; Phasianidae.
GUUGUACUGUGGGAAAGAACAAAUAAAUGUUUUUUUCUUCUUUACUUCUUUGCACAGUCUUCUUUCUCUCUCCAUGAACACAGACACGAAUUCUCUCUAGUUUCUCCAGGGGGUGAUAACAGCAAGGCUCCUUCCCUCUGGAAACAUAUACAAUUUUGCUGGAGUAAUAAAAACACUGAAGAGGAGAGCCAGCAGCAGACGCAGGUAAGUAAAUUGCUAGCCAUUGAACCUAAAUUACUUUCUAAAUUAUUAUUUUGACAGUGUGCACAUUUUGUAGUGUUAGAAGGAACCUGUAGUCUUUAACUAUGUUCCACUGUUUGCAUUAUUUCUACUUGUCCAAUCCAGUGAUUUUGUUUCUUUGUUUUUUUUUUUCUCAUCCCACAGGACUGACUUUGAUUUUAUUUUCUUACCUCUGUGGAAAGCGAAGCAGUAAAAUCUUUCAAGAGCCCUGUAUCUGGGUAUCCUGCUGCUGCCUUCAGCCCCAUCUCCUGAGCAGUCGGAGUGUGGCUUCACAGUCUUUUCAAGUUGUUCAGAAUCAGUUUCCAGUGUGCAAAUGCUAUUUAGAAGCAUGAAGACAGCUCUGAGAAAAGAAACAGUUUUGCAUCAACAUGGGACACAGCUCAUAUUCUCUUUUACAUCAGAUGUCAUUGCUAAUCCAUCAGCAAAGUAGAAGACAAGCACAGGGAGAGGACACAGGUCAUAAACAGCACCAGGGGCAACUUCUGGAGACUUUUUGCAUGCUGAGAAUAAACAGUAACCAGAUAGUUGAGGCUCUUGCUGUGCAGCUGUCCCUUUGUCUGGGAAUGGAUGUGGGAACAAAGAUCACUAAAUGCCCCGACACCCGCUUAAGAAGCAUAUUUUGCGUAGAUGGAUAUUAGCAAUUCAAAAGCUAAAUUGAGAUCUAAACAAGGUCAUUUGCUUGUCAGACUAUUUUUGACAUAGGCAGUGUUUAAUUCAAGAAGCAGAAGGGCUGGGAUAAACAAAUGCAACCCUAAAUGGGCAGCUGGCUGCAGAGUGGUUUUGAAGCAGAUUCAUCCCAAAGGGCAGCCUGCUUGUACCCUCACCCAGAACAGAAAGGCAGAGGCCAGCCCUUUCCAUGAUGUUUUAGUAGUGGGGAACUCAAACCAUUUCUGUUCCACUAGCAAGGAAAGAAAAAAGGAAAGGCAAAUACAAGAGAUGUUAAUUUAAAAUACAAUAUGCAUAUAUGUGUAUGCAAAUUAGAUGAGAUCCUCGGUGUGUCCGAGUUAAAGCAAUGUUUUAUAAACUGUAAUCUGCUUUUUGUAGAAUUCCUUAAUUCCAGUGAGUAUUACAAAAUAUAUGUGGCGUGAAUAAAACCUGAGCUUCCUUAUAAUUUAGUAGUGAA